Molecule: unclassified non-coding RNA, 258 nt
Filed under: Glomus sp.
Lineage: Eukaryota; Fungi; Glomeromycota; Glomeromycetes; Glomerales; Glomeraceae
Description: partial contains 5.8S ribosomal RNA and internal transcribed spacer 2
Source: RNAcentral
GUGAAUCAUCGAAUCUUUGAACGCAAAUUGCACUCUCUUCGACGAGGAUGCCUGUUUGAGUGUCAGCCUAAAAAAAAUCGACAUAGUCGCUGUUUCGCUGUGACAUUCGUCGAACAUUGGGUCAUCUUAAACCUUUUGGUUUUAAACUGCUUAAAAUUUUCUUUACGAUUCCACGAACGUUUCUAAGAUAUUACUUCUUACACACGUUUAUGGUAUAGAUCUUUGUUAUACGUGACCGUUGCAUCGGAUAGCGUCCAU